AUUGAACGCUGGCGGCAUGCUUUACACAUGCAAGUCGAACGGUAACAGGCCUUCUUGUGCUGACGAGUGGCGAACGGGUGAGUAAGGCAUCGGAACGUACCCAGAGGUGGGCUAUAACGCAGCGAAAGCUGUGCUAGUACCGCAUGUGAUCUGAGUAUGAAAUCGGGGGUCCGAGCAGCAAUGUUUGGCCUCGCGCCUUUGGAGCGGCCGAUGUGGGUUUAGCUAGUGGGUUGGGUAAAGACCUAGCAAGGGGACGAUCCGUAGCUGGUCUGAUAGGACGACCAGCGACAGUGGGGCUGAGACACGGACCUGAGUACUACGGGAGGGCGCAAUGGGGAAUUUUGGACAAUAGGCGCAAGGAUGAUACAGUGAUGCCGCGUGUGGUGAGAAGACUUUCGGGGUGUGAACCGGUUCUGGCAGGUACGAAGCGGUUUCGGUUGAUACCGGGCGCUAGUGACGGUACCUGCAGAAUAAGCACCGGCUAACUACGUG
RNAcentral lists this ribosomal RNA (492 nucleotides) under uncultured bacterium. Its description in RNAcentral is "partial 16S ribosomal RNA". It matches the Rfam family "Bacterial small subunit ribosomal RNA", at positions 30 to 507 of the family's 1533-position model. The record is from RNAcentral.